This 78-nucleotide transfer RNA is filed under the name Deltaproteobacteria bacterium RIFOXYB12_FULL_58_9. Its description in RNAcentral is "tRNA-Glu". It matches the Rfam family "tRNA". From Rfam's summary of the family: Transfer RNA (tRNA) molecules are approximately 80 nucleotides in length. Lineage: Bacteria; Deltaproteobacteria. The record is from RNAcentral.
GUCCCUAUCGUCUAGCACGGUCUAGGACACCGGCCUUUCACGCCGGCGACACCGGUUCAAAUCCGGUUGGGGACGCCA